Molecule: transfer RNA, 74 nt
Filed under: Pirellula sp.
Lineage: Bacteria; Pseudomonadati; Planctomycetota; Planctomycetia; Pirellulales; Pirellulaceae
Also listed under: 7 other names
Description: tRNA-Met
Rfam family: tRNA
About the family: Transfer RNA (tRNA) molecules are approximately 80 nucleotides in length. Their secondary structure includes four short double-helical elements and three loops (D, anti-codon, and T loops).
Source: RNAcentral
GGCGAUGUAGCUCAGUCGGUUAGAGCAACGGCUUCAUAAGCCGUGUGUCGGUGGUUCGAGUCCACUCAUCGCUA